Molecule: transfer RNA, 84 nt
Filed under: Planctomycetaceae bacterium
Lineage: Bacteria; Pseudomonadati; Planctomycetota; Planctomycetia; Planctomycetales; Planctomycetaceae
Description: tRNA-Leu
Rfam family: tRNA
About the family: Transfer RNA (tRNA) molecules are approximately 80 nucleotides in length. Their secondary structure includes four short double-helical elements and three loops (D, anti-codon, and T loops).
Source: RNAcentral
GGCCGAGUGGCGAAAUGGCAUACGCUGGGGAUUUAAAAUCCCCUCUCGGUAAACGGGGUGCGGGUUCGAAUCCCGCCUCGGCCA